Molecule: ribosomal RNA, 499 nt
Filed under: uncultured bacterium
Lineage: Bacteria
Description: partial 16S ribosomal RNA
Rfam family: Bacterial small subunit ribosomal RNA
Source: RNAcentral
GACGAACGCUGGCGGUGUGCUUAACACAUGCAAGUCGAACGGGCCUGUCUUCUUUUUUGGGGGUGGGUUGAGUGGCGAACGGGUGAGUAUCACGUGAGUAACCUGCCCUUCGGUCCUGGAUAACCGCUUGAAAGGGCGGCUAAUACGGGGUGGUCCGGUUGGUCCGCAUGGGCUGGUCGGGAUAGAUUCACUGUUUUUGGUGUUUCGGCGGGGGAUGGGCUCGCGGCCUAUCAGCUUGUUGGUGGGGUGAUGGCCUACCAAGGCGGUGACGGGUAGCCGGCCUGAGAGGGUGGGCGGCCACACUGGGACUGAGAUACGGCCCAGACUCCUGCGGGAGGCAGCAGUGGGGGGUAUUGCACAAUGGGCGGAAGCCUGAUGCAGCGACGUCGCGUGAGGGAUGGAGGCCUUCGGGUUGUGAACCUCUGUUUCCGGUGGUGAAGGCCCUGUCCGUGUGGUGGGGUUGACGGUAGCCGGGGAUGAAGCGCCGGCUAACUACGUG